This 602-nucleotide ribosomal RNA is filed under the name uncultured bacterium. RNAcentral describes it as "bacterial SSU rRNA". The stretch from base 1 to 510 matches the Rfam family "Bacterial small subunit ribosomal RNA", at positions 338 to 873 of the family's 1533-position model. The record is from RNAcentral.
CCUACGGGAGGCAGCAGUGGGGAAUAUUGGACAAUGGGCGAAAGCCUGAUCCAGCAAUGCCGCGUGAGUGAUGAAGGCCUUAGGGUCGUAAAGCUCUUUUACCAGGGAUGAUAAUGACAGUACCUGGAGAAUAAGCUCCGGCUAACUCCGUGCCAGCAGCCGCGGUAAUACGGAGGGAGCUAGCGUUGUUCGGAAUUACUGGGCGUAAAGCGUGCGUAGGCGGUUAUUCAAGUCAGAGGUGAAAGCCCGGGGCUCAACCCCGGAACGGCCUUUGAAACUAGAUAACUAGAAUCUUGGAGAGGUCAGUGGAAUUCCGAGUGUAGAGGUGAAAUUCGUAGAUAUUCGGAAGAACACCAGUGGCGAAGGCGACUGACUGGACAAGUAUUGACGCUGAGGUACGAAAGCGUGGGGAGCAAACAGGAUUAGAUACCCUGGUAGUCCACGCCGUAAACGAUGAUAACUAGNUGUCGACACUGUGUUGGUGGCGCNGCUACGCAUAAGUUAUCCGUCCGUGGGAGGUACGGUCGCGAGAGUAAACGUAACGAAAGAAAGUAGACGGUCGUGUAGACGUUAGUCCGAACGGACGACGACGAGGGAGGAGG